RNAcentral lists this non-coding RNA (206 nucleotides) under Romboutsia ilealis. Its description in RNAcentral is "T-box". It matches the Rfam family "T-box leader". Rfam says of the family: Uncharged tRNA acts as the effector for transcription antitermination of genes in the T-box leader family. T-boxes are found upstream of many aminoacyl-tRNA synthetase genes and some amino acid biosynthetic genes usually in Gram-positive bacteria. Lineage: Bacteria; Bacillati; Bacillota; Clostridia; Peptostreptococcales; Peptostreptococcaceae. The record is from RNAcentral.
UUAUAAGCAAUGAUUAAGAAAUAGUAAAAGAUGAAAUCUUUACAGAGAGGAAACGGUGGUGAAAGUUUCUAAGAAGAAGUCUUUGAACCAGUCUUUUAGCUUAAAAACGGUAAAAAGUUUUUACGGUAGGGACCGUUAUAUCCCAUAAAGAGAGUCUUUGGGCUAAUUAGAGUGGUACCGCGGAAAUUAAACCUUUCGUCUCUAUA